This 1448-nucleotide ribosomal RNA is filed under the name metagenome. Its description in RNAcentral is "bacterial LSU rRNA". It matches the Rfam family "Bacterial large subunit ribosomal RNA", at positions 1456 to 2925 of the family's 2925-position model. The record is from RNAcentral.
UGACAGAACUGUGGGGACACGUAAGGAAAGCGGAAGCCGGGAAUGGAAAGCCCGGUGCAAGCGGGGUACCAGCCACUUUGGCAAAUCCGGGUGGCAAUGGGAAGCCGUGAUGCGGAGCGAAAUAAAGUAGCGAAGUCCGUGAGCCAUGCGUCAAGAAAAGCCGCUAUCGUUUAUACCGUACCCGUACCGUAAACCGACACAGGUGGAUGAGGAGAGAAUCCUAAGGCCGGCGGAAGAAGCAUUGUCAAGGAACUCGGCAAAAUGGCCCCGUAACUUAGGGAUAAGGGGUGCCUGGAAACCAGGCCGCAGAGAAUAGGCUCAAGCAACUGUUUAGCAAAAACACAGGUCUAUGCGAAACCGAAAGGUGAGGUAUAUGGGCUGACGCCUGCCCGGUGCUGGAAGGUUAAGAGGAUAGGUUAGCGGUAACGCGAAGCUUUGAAUUUAAGCCCCAGUAAACGGCGGCCGUAACGAUAACGGUCCUAAGGUAGCGAAAUUCCUUGUCGGGUAAGUUCCGACCCGCACGAAAGGCGUAAUGAUUUGAGCGCUGUCUCGACAAUGCAUCGGUGAAAUUGAAGUACCAGUGAAGAUGCUGGUUACCUGCGCCAGGACGGAAAGACCCCAUGGAGCUUUACUCCAGUCUGGUACUGGGACUCGGUAUUGCAUGUACAGGAUAGGUGGGAGGCUGAGAAGUGGUAACGCCAGUUGCCAUGGAGCCGCUGUUGGGAUACCACCCUUGCAGUAUUGGGUUUCUAACCAGCCGCCGUGACCCGGCGGUGGGACAAUGCCAGACGGGGAGUUUGACUGGGGCGGUCGCCUCCGAAAGGGUAUCGGAGGCGCCCAAAGGUUCCCUCAGAAUGGACGGAAACCAUUCGAAGAGUGCAAAGGCAGAAGGGAGCUUGACUGCGACACCGACGGGUGGAGCAGGUACGAAAGUAGGGCUUAGUGAUCCGGUGGUAUUAAGUGGGAAUGCCAUCGCUCAACGGAUAAAAGCUACCCUGGGAUAACAGGCUUAUCACUCCCAAGAGUUCACAUCGACGGAGUGGUUUGGCACCUCGAUGUCGGCUCAUCGCAUCCUGGGGCUGUAGUAGGUCCCAAGGGUUGGGCUGUUCGCCCAUUAAAGCGGUACGCGAGCUGGGUUCAGAACGUCGUGAGACAGUUCGGUCCCUAUCCGGCGUGGGCGUAGGAUAUCUGAGAGGAGCUGUCCUUAGUACGAGAGGACCGGGAUGGACGGGCCGCUGGUGCAUCGGUUAGACUGCCAAGUCUACGGCCGAGUAGCCAAGCCCGGAAGGGAUAAACGCUGAAGGCAUCUAAGCGUGAAGCCCCCCUUAAGAUGAGAUAUCCCAUUCGAAAGAAGUAAACCCCCUUGAAGACGACGAGGUAGAUAGGGCAGAGGUGGAAGUGCAGCAAUGCAUGGAGCUGACUGUUACUAAUCGGGUGAGGGCUUGACC